UCAAACCCCACAGUCGGAUCCGGAUCCGGAUCGGAAAUAAUUAGAAUUAAACAUCACUCUUCCUCUAUCUUUCCACCAUCUCCCAUCUCUCUCUCUCUUCGGGAACCAGAUCUGCAAUGGUGGUUGCAGAUUUGGUGGAAGGUUAGGGUUUGUUCGAAAUAAAAUUUUGGGGUUUUCAUGUACAAAAGAGGAUAGCUCAAAUUGACGGUUGAAGGUUGAUGAAGGAUGGUGGCAGGUGGGGUUGAUGGCGGAUAUUGAUGGCAGUCGUUGUUGUUGAAGGAAGGUGGCAGGUGGGUUGAUGUUGGCGGUUGUUGAUGAAGGAUGGUCGCAGGUGGGUGGUGAUCGUUGAAGGUUGAUGAAGGAUGGUGGCAAGUGGUGGUCCGGUGGUAGUGGUGGUUGUUGGGAGCUACGGUGGUGGAGGGUCUAGCUGAAAACAUGAAUAAUCAAAGCCAAAGCCAAUUUCAGCUUUGUUUGGAAAUCUACACUUUGAAGAUGAUGUUUCAGAUGUUGAAGAUGAUGUUGAAGAUGUUGAAGAUGAUU
Helianthus annuus (common sunflower) is the source of this 540-nucleotide long non-coding RNA. RefSeq lists it as uncharacterized. The transcript is spliced from 2 exons. Lineage: Eukaryota; Viridiplantae; Streptophyta; Magnoliopsida; Asterales; Asteraceae. The record is from RefSeq and is a predicted model, not a curated record.